Molecule: long non-coding RNA, 2390 nt
Organism: Bos taurus (domestic cattle)
Lineage: Eukaryota; Metazoa; Chordata; Mammalia; Artiodactyla; Bovidae
Source: Ensembl
AGUAGCAAGAGAAGCUACGCAAUGAGAAGCCUGCGCAUUGCAACAAGGAGUAGCUUUCGAUCGUUGCAACUAGAGAAGGCUGUGGGCAGCAGUGAAGACCCAGCAUAACCAAAAAAAAAGGGUAUAGACAACCGGACCUGACUGGUCACUGUCCGUGUGGCCCUUGAUCACCCCUGAGCAGCCAGGGUGUCAGGUGUCUCCCUGAGAAGUCAUUUGCCUCCUCUCCACAGUCCUCUUGAGAAGAAAGUCAUGAAGCACAACCUACACUUAAGGAAUUGUGCUUCCCCUUUUUAAUUUUUAAGGUCAUAAAAUGGUAUAAAAAUCCAAUUUUAAAUCAGUUGACAUGGAGGCAAAACAAAAAGCCAUUGUUAACAGCCUCUUGCGUUUCCUUCCUGGAAUUUUUUUCAAGGCAUUUUCAAGUCACUAUUUUCAUCUCCACCCUGCCACCCACUCCUCACCUUUUUUUUUUUUUUUCCUUUUUAAAAGGGGGGAUCAUAUUUGACUUCACGGAAUCUAUCAUUUUGAAAUCAUGCCACUAAAGAAGAUAAAGCAACGUGACUGUUUAAUAACAUGAUCUGACCUGUGGAGCAUUUCAAAAGCACCUGAAGCUUUUUCAGCAAACACUGCCUCCCUUUUCAUUUCCUCUAUCAGCGCUGAAAAUAGUUGGAGUUUUUUUUUUUUCUCUCUCUUAAUUCCAUGCAUUAAAAAAAAGAGAUUCUUCUCGACAGAAGGUGUUAAUUCAGGCACUAAAUCUGGAACAUUCUAAUCACUGUGAAGUUUUGUGUGUCUCAUCUUUGGCAGAAAACGUGUGAAGAUGAGAGCUUAUUCCUUACACCUUACAGCUCCUGAAGCGGCUCUGCAGAAGCUCAUCACUUACACCCUCCCACACUUGAGUCACCUCCCACCUCCUGACCUCGUGUUCCCAGCUUCAGGGUUUCCAGAAGCCCACCUAGUUCCCUCUCAUCUUGCAGGAGGGGCUGCCUUAGCUGAUGCACCCCAAAUCUGCCUUCUCCUCCCAAGCGUCUCCCCUGUACAAUUUUGAACUGCAGAAGUCACAAGUGAAUUCCUCUGUAUUCGUUUCCUGUGGCUGCUUUAACGAACCACCACCAACUUACACACAAAUUCACUCUUCCACUGUUCUGGAUAUCAAGAGGCUGAAGUCAGGAAGUCCUAAGCGGAAGGUGCUGGCGGAACUGGCCCCUUCUGCAGGCUGGUGGAGGGGGGUCCCCUUCCUUGCCCUCUUGCAGCUUCUGGUGGCUGCCCGCAUUCCUUGGCUGGGGGCCACCUUCCAUUUUCAGAGUGCAUCGCACAGAGCUCUGCUCCCACUGUCAUGCCCCCCCCCACUCUGACCCCCCCUGCUUCCCUUUCAUAAGGACCCUGUGAUCACAUUGACCUCACCUGGAUGACCAGGAGACGCCUCAUCUCAAGGGCUUUAACUGAACACACCUGCCAAGCCCUUCUGGCCUCAUAAGGCAAUGUGACAGGGAAAAGCAGAAACCAGUGGAAGGAAGUCACGCUGAUGAUCUAUUUCUAAACACCUCCCCGUUGGUGACUCAGCACAGACAUCUCUUCAGCAAGCCCCAACUCCAUGGGCUAGCACAGGGAGUGGGCUUCUCCUGUUGUGACUCAGAAGUUUCAGCAUGAGGACUUACUGCUCCAAGGCAUGGGGGAAUCUUAGUUCCCAACCAGGGAUCAAACCCAGGUCUCCUGCAUUGGAAGAUGGGUUCUUAACAGUGGACCACCAGGGAAGUCCCUCUGCAGGUUAUUUAAUCUCACUUUUCUUUUUUUUUUUUUUUGGAAAAACAGGGUUAAUAGUAGUAGCUGCCUCAUAGGGUUGUUGUGAGAAUUAAAACAGUUAAUAUUAUAUAAAGUGCUUACAGAGAGCUGGGUAUGUUGGAAAUGCUUCAUAUAGGAAUAGUCAUCAUCAUCAUCAUCCAUCUCAGUACUGGUAUCUGCAGCUGGGCAAUCAAACAGAAGGAGAUAAUAAAUGGGCUUUUAAAAAGCUAAAUAGGGAAUUUCUUGGUGGUCCAGUGGUUAUGACUCUUUGUGACCCCAUGGACUGUAGUCUGCCAUGCUCCUCUGUCCAUGGGAUUUCCCAGGCAAGAAUAUUGGAGCAGUUUGCCAUUUUCUCCUCGAGGGGAUCUUCCUGACCCAGGGAUCGGACCCACAUCUCUCCCAUCUCCUGUAUUGUCAGACGGCUUCUUUACCACUAGUGCCACCUGGGAAGCCCAAGUCCGGGCAUGUGGGUUCAAGUCCCGGCACGUGGGUUUGAGUCCCAGUCUGAGUUACACAUCUUCAAACACGACCAAUUUUUAUCUUAUGUGCACUGUACCACAAUUUUUUUAAAAAGUAAACAUUAAACAGCCUCUUUCAGAGCCAUCUGCCAAAAA